Mus musculus (house mouse) is the source of this 292-nucleotide non-coding RNA. The record is from Rfam. NCBI's taxonomy places the organism in Eukaryota, Metazoa, Chordata, Mammalia, Rodentia, Muridae.
GCUGGGUGUGGUGGCACACGCCUUUAAUCCCAGCACUCAGGAGGCAGAGGCAGGCAGAUUUCUGAGUUCGAGGCCGGCCUGGUCUACAAAGUGAGUUCCAGGACAGCCAGAGCUAUACAAAGAAAUCCUGUCUCGAAAAAUGAAAAAAAUUAAAAAAAAGAGAGAGAGAGAGAGACUUUUUUUUUUUUUUUGGUUUUUUUUUGAGACAGGGUUUCUCUGUGUAGCCCUGGCUGUCCUGGAACUCACUUUGUAGACCAGGCUGGCCUCGAACUCAGAAAUCCGCCUGCCUCUG